UACACGUACUUUUUUUAAGGAUCCAAAUACUUUUUUACGAAUUACGCACUACCAAAAUUCGGUUUCCAUUGGUCAUCCGAUGCUCAUAUUGCCGCUAUAUUUUAUCAUAAAUUUAAGCGAUUGAUCAAUUACUUUCCUUUUUUCCUACGCUCUUUAUGUUGGCGUUUCCUUAAAAAAUUUGAAAAAGAUAUUAACCACUUUGACUCUUCGCUUUACGACUGCGGAGGCCAAUACCAAUUUCUACCUUUUUUUAUACUAAAUGAGAUGAAAAGCACGUGGUUGCUCUAUUUAAGCGUUCUGGGAUUGGUGCUAUCGCUCAUUAAAAUAUUCUGGGAUUGGUGGUUUCUUUUUUCUAACAAGAAGAGAGCACCGUUACAAGCACAUAAAAAAGUCUUCGAUCCGGCGCUUCCGUUUCUUGUGUCGCAAAGUGCCGCCUUCAUAAUGUUGGGGCUGUUUAUUAUGCGCAUGCUUCCAUUUUUUACGCCAAGCCUCGCUUUUUUGGCGGGUUAUUUGUUUACUCACCACGUGGACUUUCUUCUUCCCUUCGCGCUGCAUAAGCACAGUUUUUUAAAGGAAAAGCGUAUAACCUGUACGAUUUGUUUUGGAAACAACACUGACCAAUUACGUGAACGUAAAAAGGAGAGAAACACCAAUAAAAAUACAGAUACGCUGGCUCGUCAGCGCAGACCUAAUAAAUUUAGAAACAUUUUGUUAACCAAUAAAAACGAGCUACAACUAAAGCGUCCUAAUUUGAGCUCCUUUAUUGGUUCUUUAUCACCUUCCGCAAAUUAUUAUAAAUUUGCUUGAAUUUUAUUUAAUUUCUUUAAUAAAAUUUCUAACACGUGCCAGUUUUUUCCUAUGUUUUUUUUCCAAUAGACAAGCUUCCCGCCUUAUUCUUUAUUUUAUUGGUAAUUGGGAUAUUUGUUGUAUUGAAGCGUGCUUAUAAAGUUCUUUAUGUGAUUAAACUGAGCAACCACAACCAACGGCAUUUUAGUACCGAUGAUGAAAUGCUCCAAUUAAUGAAGUGGAUCAACGUUAAUGCAGACCAUCGAUUGGACUCUAUAACAGCAAAUCUUGUUGCAUCCUCGCAAAUUUUACUUCAUACAAAAGUUAAAAUAACUAUUCAUCCUCACGCGGAAAGUAGUGAAAUGCGUGCUCGCUACAGAAAUUAUUAUGCGAUUUACGCUAAAGUUUCUGACUACACAGUUUAUAAAGAGAUUAAAAAAUUGAACACAACGUAUUUAGUAAUUUCAAACUGCAAUGCGCACUGCACUUCAACUACAACUUUAUCGGAUGUAGUUAAGUUUAGCGAUCUAAAAAAGAAAUGGUCUGAAAAUUUGAAGCCUUUUUGCUUGCGAGUAUUAGAGGGAA
RNA transcript from Zophobas morio, 1371 nucleotides. RefSeq lists it as uncharacterized. The record is from RefSeq and is a predicted model, not a curated record. The transcript is spliced from 8 exons. Lineage: Eukaryota; Metazoa; Arthropoda; Insecta; Coleoptera; Tenebrionidae.